RNAcentral lists this ribosomal RNA (254 nucleotides) under uncultured bacterium. Its description in RNAcentral is "partial 16S ribosomal RNA". It matches the Rfam family "Bacterial small subunit ribosomal RNA", at positions 524 to 776 of the family's 1533-position model. The record is from RNAcentral.
UACGUAGGGUGCUAGCGUUGUCCGGAUUUAUUGGGCGUAAAGGGCUCGUAGGCGGCGUGUCGCGUCGGGAGUGAAAGCCCGCUGCUUAACGGCGGGUUGGCUUCCGGUACGGGCAUCGCUGGAGUGCGGCAGGGGAGACUGGAAUUCCUGGUGUAGCGGUGAAAUGCGUAGAUAUCAGGAGGAACACCGGUGGUGUAAACGGCUUUCUGGACCAUAACUGACACUGAGGCACGAAAGCGUGGGUAGCAAACAGG